CCUACGGGUGGCAGCAGUGGGGAAUAUUGCACAAUGGGGGAAACCCUGAUGCAGCGACGCCGCGUGAGUGAAGAAGUAAUUCUUUAUGUAAAGCUCUAUCUGCAGGGAAGAAAAUGACGGUACCUGAGUAAGAAGCCCCGUCUAACUACGUGCCAGCAGCCGCGGUAAGACGUAGGGGGCAAGCGUUAUCCGGAUUUACUGGGUGUAAAGGGAGCGUAGGCGGCAGUGCAAGUCUGGAGUGAAAGGCUGGGGCUCAACCCCCGGAGUGCUCUGGAAACUGUACGGCUGGAGUGCAGGAGAGGUAAGUGGAAUUCGUGGUGUAGCGGUGAAAUGCGUAGAUAUUAGGAGGAACACCAGUGGCGAAGGCGGCUUACUGGACUGUAACUGACGUUGAGGCUCGAAAGCGUGGGGAGCAAACAGGAUUAGAUACCCUUGUAGUC
Molecule: ribosomal RNA, 440 nt
Filed under: uncultured bacterium
Lineage: Bacteria
Description: partial 16S ribosomal RNA
Rfam family: Bacterial small subunit ribosomal RNA
Source: RNAcentral